AAACUUUUAACAACGGAUCUCUUGGUUCUGGCAUCGAUGAAGAACGCAGCGAAAUGCGAUAAGUAAUGUGAAUUGCAGAAUUCAGUGAAUCAUCGAAUCUUUGAACGCACAUUGCGCCCCCUGGUAUUCCGGGGGGCAUGCCUGUUCGAGC
Molecule: ribosomal RNA, 151 nt
Filed under: Cladosporium oxysporum
Lineage: Eukaryota; Fungi; Ascomycota; Dothideomycetes; Cladosporiales; Cladosporiaceae
Also listed under: 5 other names
Description: 5.8S ribosomal RNA
Rfam family: 5.8S ribosomal RNA
About the family: 5.8S ribosomal RNA (5.8S rRNA) is a component of the large subunit of the eukaryotic ribosome.
Source: RNAcentral